This 253-nucleotide ribosomal RNA is filed under the name uncultured bacterium. RNAcentral's name for it is "partial 16S ribosomal RNA". It matches the Rfam family "Bacterial small subunit ribosomal RNA", at positions 524 to 776 of the family's 1533-position model. The record is from RNAcentral.
UACGGAGGAUGCAAGCGUUAUCCGGAAUGAUUGGGCGUAAAGCGUCCGCAGGUGGCAAUGUAAGUCUGCUGUUAAAGAGUGAGGCUCAACCUCAUAAGAGCAGUGGAAACUACAUAGCUAGAGUGCGUUCGGGGCAAAGGGAAUUCCUGGUGUAGCGGUGAAAUGCGUAGAGAUCACGAAGAACACCGGUGGCGAAAGCGCUUUGCUAGGCCGCAACUGACACUGAGGGACGAAAGCUAGGGGAGCGAAUGGG